AAAAGAACCUGAAACCGUGUACGUACAAGCAGUGGGAGCCCCACCACUAAGCCAGUGGUGAACUCACAUACGCAUCCUUUGCUGAAGGUGCGGUUAACGGAGCGCAAGCGACGUUCAACCUCAAAAGAAGCAGAGGGGGCUUAGUGGUGGGGUGACUGCGUACCUUUUGUAUAAUGGGUCAGCGACUUAUAUUCUGUAGCAAGGUUAACCGAAUAGGGGAGCCGGAGGGAAACCGAGUCUUAAUUGGGCGUUAAGUUGCAGGGUAUAGACCCGAAACCCGGUGAUCUAGCCAUGGGCAGGUUGAAGGUUGGGU
Molecule: ribosomal RNA, 313 nt
Filed under: Salmonella enterica subsp. enterica serovar Worthington str. BCH-7253
Lineage: Bacteria; Pseudomonadati; Pseudomonadota; Gammaproteobacteria; Enterobacterales; Enterobacteriaceae
Description: partial 23S ribosomal RNA
Rfam family: Bacterial large subunit ribosomal RNA
Source: RNAcentral